Carassius auratus (goldfish) is the source of this 1206-nucleotide long non-coding RNA. RefSeq lists it as uncharacterized. Lineage: Eukaryota; Metazoa; Chordata; Actinopteri; Cypriniformes; Cyprinidae. The record is from RefSeq and is a predicted model, not a curated record. The transcript is spliced from 2 exons.
GAACAUGAGCUCUCAGCACUUUCCCAGAGUCACUCUCCACCUGCUCCUUUGAGCUCCUGAUGGAGGAUCAUUGAGCAUGUGGCGCUCCACAUCCCUCAUUGUCUGUCUGAGCUCUUCCAUUGGCUCCAAACGGUGAGAAACUCCAACAAGCUCAAGCCUCACACAUUCAUAUGGAGAUUUGGGAGUAUAAAUAGAGGAGCUGCAGCCAGUGCAAACCAGACUCAGUCUGAACAGAGAGAUCUACAGCACAGAGAUCCAGACAUGACAGCUACAAUCAUCUCAAAGGAGCUUCUCCCUCUCAACAACAAGCUGAGAAAGCCGAUGGUGGAGAAGAUGUGCAGAGAUGGUAUCAACAGCAUCUACUGAAACACCAGUGGUUUCUGAAACAUCUGAUGAAGUAAAAGUGGCUGUUCCUCUAUCAGCUGCACUUCACAGUAACAGCAAAUGCAUUGAUUUUAACACCUGACACCUGAAGGAAAGCAAACAAGGAAAACAAAUCUUUAUCAGACACAGAGGAUGUGAACCACAUUUUAGUUCACAAUAUUUCUUUCUGAUGUGCAAAGACUGUUAAUCUGUCUCAGAUUUUAUAAUUCACAUCUAUGUUAGGUGCAACUUAGUUUAAUUGGAUUUGAUUUUAUGAAUCCAGUUUUGCUGGAUGUGUUGUGUAUUGUUGAAUGCAUUUGUGUACACCUUCAGUGAAGGACAAUUACAUUUCUUAUUACACAAUUGUAAACCUUUGCUUUAUGUGAAGUACAAAUAUCCCACAUUGGGAGCUGGUUUUGAAUAUUUUGUCAGUAUGAUAAACACUCAGUUGUCCUCAUAGGACAUUUAAUCAUAUCAUAGAAUCACAUCUAAAUGUGGUUCAGUGUUUUUUCUGCCAUGCAAAUAACUCACUUUUGUUGAGUUUGACACCUGUGGAUGUAUAUGUCAUCAUAAAAUUGUGAUUAACUCUUAAUUACCUUCACAUUAAGCACUACUCUUUCUGUUAUGCUUUACUUUCACCCCUCAUGUGGAGGAAUGUUAAUGUCACAUGACUUUUGUAAAGUUUAAUAAAAUGUAUUUGAUGUGAAUCCCAAUAUCAAUAUUUUUGGAGACCUUUUAAUGCAUUUAAUUGCAAUGCAUUUAAUGUGAUAUGUUAUCACCAAUUUAUUUGCUUUCAUAAUGAAAUCAUGUCAUCACAAAAUAAUAAAAACAAGUUCAAAUGUA